This 483-nucleotide ribosomal RNA is filed under the name uncultured bacterium. RNAcentral's name for it is "partial 16S ribosomal RNA". It matches the Rfam family "Bacterial small subunit ribosomal RNA", at positions 36 to 507 of the family's 1533-position model. The record is from RNAcentral.
UCCUCCCUCUGGCGGCGUGCUUAACACAUGCAAGUCGAACGCUGAAGCUCAGCUUUUGUUGGGUGGAUGAGUGGCGAACGGGUGAGUAACACGUGAGUAACCUGCCCCCUUCUUUGGGAUAACGCCCGGAAACGGGUGCUAAUACUGGAUAUUCACUGGUCUUCGCAUGGGGGUUGGUGGAAAGGGUUUUUCUGGUGGGGGAUGGGCUCGCGGCCUAUCAGCUUGUUGGUGGGGUGAUGGCCUACCAAGGCUUUGACGGGUAGCCGGCCUGAGAGGGUGACCGGUCACAUUGGGACGGAGAUACGGCCCAGACUCGUACGGGAGGCAGCAGUGGGGAAUAUUGCACAAUGGGCGCAAGCCUGAUGCAGCGACGCCGCGUGAGGGAUGGAGGCCUUCGGGUUGUGAACCUCUUUCGCUCAUGGUCAAGCCGAAACAAUGGUUGUGGUGAGGGUAGUGGGUAAAGAAGCGCCGGCUAACUACGUG